AGAUUUCUGUAGACAGAGCCAGAUGCUACAGUGUAUAGAGGAGGGAGAGAUAUGGCGGGUGAAUUUCUCAGCUCUGCUCACAUCUUCAUCACAACAGUAUGAGAAGGAAUGUUUGUCUGUGAUUGACCAGUUAAUGAACAAACAGAAGUUUGGAGAAGCAUGAAAGUUUGCCAAAAUUACAGGAAUUUCUGCUCAUCAUGUCACCAUACUUCAGCUAAAACAAGAGAAGGAAAGACUGAGCAGUACAGAUUUCAGGCAGUCAAGACACGCCAGGUUAAAGUUUUAUAGAGACUGUACCAUCAAGUUUAGAAAACAUGAAAUUCCUCCAGAGAAAAUUGCUGACUUCUUCAAGGAACUGUGAUGACACUGAGGAAAUAUUCUACAAUCUUCACCAUGGUUACCAUUGAAUAGGGAUUCUCACAUAGCAAUUGCUGUACAGUGUAAUGCCAGCAUGUAUGUUUUUUUAAGCAAACGACAGUGUAUCAAGGCAGAAGCUGUGCAUCUG
This is a long non-coding RNA of Mercenaria mercenaria, 505 nucleotides long. RefSeq lists it as uncharacterized. The record is from RefSeq and is a predicted model, not a curated record. Lineage: Eukaryota; Metazoa; Mollusca; Bivalvia; Venerida; Veneridae. The transcript has 3 exons.